RNAcentral lists this ribosomal RNA (481 nucleotides) under uncultured bacterium. RNAcentral's name for it is "bacterial SSU rRNA". It matches the Rfam family "Bacterial small subunit ribosomal RNA", at positions 8 to 526 of the family's 1533-position model. The record is from RNAcentral.
AGAGUUUGAUCAUGGCUCAGGACGAACGCUGGCGGCGUGCCUAAUGCAUGCAAGUCGCACGGGGUCUUCGGACUCAGUGGCGCACGGCUGAGGAGCACGUGGCUAACCUACCCCGGCGUGGGGGAUAACGGGCCGAAAGGCUCGCUAAUCCCGCAUACGAUCACCCUCACGGGUGAGGAAAGCUUCGGCGCGCUGGGCGGGGGCCGCGUCCCAUUAGGUUGUUGGUGUGGUAAUGGCGCACCAAGCCGAUGAUGGGUUCCGGGUCUGAGAGGACGACCCGGCAGACUGGGACUGAGACACGGCCCAGACUCCUACGGGGGGCAGCAGCAAGGAAUUUUCGGCAAUGGGCGCAAGCCUGACCGAGCAACGCCGCGUGGAGGAUGACGGCUUUCGGGUUGUAAACUCCUUUUGGGUGGGACGAUAAUGACGGUACCAUCCGAAUCAGACCCGGCUAACUACGUGCCAGCAGCCGCGGUAAUUC